GACGAAGGAUGCAAGCGUUAUCCGGAUUCAUUGGGUUUAAAGGGCGCGUAGGUGGCCUGCUAAGUCAGUGGUGAAAUCUCUGGGCUUAACCCAGAAAUUGCCAUUGAUACUGGUGGGCUUGAGUGCAGUUGCUGUUGGCGGAAUAUGACAUGUAGUGGUGAAAUACAUAGAGAUGUCAUAGAACACCGAUUGCGAAGGCAGCUAACAAAACUGUAACUGACACUGAGGCUCGAAAGUGUGGGGAUCAAACAGG
RNAcentral lists this ribosomal RNA (253 nucleotides) under uncultured bacterium. RNAcentral's name for it is "partial 16S ribosomal RNA". It matches the Rfam family "Bacterial small subunit ribosomal RNA", at positions 524 to 776 of the family's 1533-position model. The record is from RNAcentral.